CUUAGCAAUUCUCAUGAUGGUGAUUGAGGAACUAGAGCCCUCAGUUAUAAGGAUGAGUUGCAACUUUUGGAGUAACAAAUGAAUGUCAAGUUUGAGCAUAUCGAGAGACACUUCGAAAAAAUUGCAAAAAGUCUUCCUGCUUUAGGAACUAAAACAAACAACUAAGGGUAAAUGUAGUUCAUUGUGACCUAUCAACAUACCUUUUCAUACACGUAGGCAAUAUAUCUUCGAUAAAGAUUCAGAUGAAAAGAUGACUAUCAGCCAUUCUAAUUCAAUAGACAUCAACGGUAUGGUGGCAAUAGGAGAAGAGGCAUGUAUGGGAAUCAUGAAAGGGAAAAUCGAUUGAAAAUUGAUAUGCCUAAUUUUUAUGGAGAUCUCCAAAUAGAAGAAUUCUUAAAUUUGGUAAUGAAUGUGGACGAUUCUUCGACUCUGUGUACACAGCAUUUUAAAUGAGUCAAAUUGGUGGCUUCAUAGUUGAAAGGUGAUGCUUAUGCUUCGUGGGAACGGCUAUAAUCUAUAAGGAACCAAGGGAAAGGCCAAUUUGUACUUGGCACUAUUAUCAAAGGCGCGCCUUAGGCGCAGCGAGCAUCGACCAAAGGGAAGAGGGCACAGCACAUCAUUGAGGAGCACCAAGGCGCACCCCAAGAAGGC
RNAcentral lists this unclassified non-coding RNA (651 nucleotides) under Hevea brasiliensis (rubber tree). Lineage: Eukaryota; Viridiplantae; Streptophyta; Magnoliopsida; Malpighiales; Euphorbiaceae. The record is from RNAcentral.